RNAcentral lists this non-coding RNA (86 nucleotides) under Clostridium ihumii. RNAcentral describes it as "Purine riboswitch". The stretch from base 14 to 78 matches the Rfam family "Purine riboswitch aptamer", at positions 20 to 86 of the family's 102-position model. From Rfam's summary of the family: Riboswitches are metabolite binding domains within certain messenger RNAs that serve as precision sensors for their corresponding targets. Allosteric rearrangement of mRNA structure is mediated by ligand binding, and this results in modulation of gene expression. Lineage: Bacteria; Bacillati; Bacillota; Clostridia; Eubacteriales; Clostridiaceae. The record is from RNAcentral.
UAGAAAGUAAUAAUUCGUAUAACCCCAAUAAUAUGGUUUGGGGGUCUCUACCAGGUACCAAUAAUUCCUGAUUACGAAGAAGACAG